UUCGAGGAGCUCGGGGGAACAAGACCUGGGGGUCCUGGACUUGUUCAACAGUGCAGGGAGAGGCGACAUGGAAUACGCCGGCGCAGCCGCACACGGCGGCGAGGACGGAGUCGUAGUGGAGGAGCUCCAUCUGGAAGAGGCGGAGGCGCUCCGACGCUCCAUCCAAGGCUUCUAGAUGCUUCGUCUCGCCCUCAUCGUCUGUUAGAAAAAGUUGUGUUGUGCUGUGUAAGUAUUGAGAUCAAAUGAAUGAAUAAUGAGAGUGUGGAUUGUAUUAACUGAGAUUUUGGACGGUGGCGUGAACGGUGUAGCCGCGGUCCAGAAGGAGGUGGACGAGCCAUGAACCGAUGGCGCCGCUGCCGCCGGUGACACACACCACCUUCUCCAUUUGGCAACUGUAUUCUAUCAACCUCCAGUUUUGUACUGUUCCAGUGUAAUCUGCUGAGGCAAAAAAUAAUUAUAAUUUGAAGUCAUAUCUGUACAAAAAAAUAUAUAUGAGUGGUGCAUAAUGAAUCUCAACACUCACAAAAAUCUCAUUAAAUUUUAUUAUUAUUAUAUUAUCAUCUUACAUGCACCAUAUCAGCAAAACCACAAAUUGCAUCACAUUUUGCAACAGAUGCAGGAAUUGAACCAGAAAUCAGAUGAUAGCAUAUACAAUGUUGUGAUGAAAAUUGGCAUGCUUAUUAUUAUUCAUUAAGCAAUAAUAUAUUAUAGAAGUAUUUUAAUCACUGGAUAUUGUUCUACUAGAUGUAAGAAACAGGUCAGUGACUUCUGUUGUUGAAAAAGUAGUAUAAUAGUUAUAAUAUAAUGUGAUUAAAAACCAUUUUUAUUGUUUUAAUAUACUGCUAAUACUACUAUAAUUAAUGUUAUAUUAAACGUUCAUAAUAUUAUUGUUACAACGUAAACCCACCCUUUAAUUGCAAUUUGUACUAUAUUAAAAUAUGAUGUCAACAUAUAUGUUAUUAUAUUAUUAAUGUUAUUAUCCUUUGGAUUUUUGUGUAUGUUUUUAUUUGGAUUUUCGUUUAUUCAAAAUUUUCAAGUAAAACAUUUAUUCAUUUGAGUGGAUUUUUUUAAAGGACUCAACUACGACCUGCUUCACGUGACAGAUGUUACACCUUAAGUACAUUACACCUUUAGCUCUCACAGUAUUCAAUUAACGCUUGAUUUAGCUUUCUGCAGUGUCUUUAUUCCUUAUCUUUCCUUUUGUCAUCAUUUUUAAUGUGCUUCUCUUACACUCUACUUCAUAAAGUUUAUAACCUACAACUUGCUUAAGCAACUUUCUUCUUACAUGGUUGUGCUCACACUUUACCUCAUUUGUCCUUCAUCGCAUCAGAAGUUCAGAUUGUUCACUUAUUUUUGUAAGACGUUAUUCAAAUUUUUGUUUCAAACUCUUGCAAUUUAAAUCGAUUGUUUUAUCCAAUGUUUUUUUUUUAUGGUUGUCUGUCCUUUUCAUAUCUUAUUUUCAACAAAAUGGCUUAUGAAGAACUUCUCCAUAUGUUGUUUGUUUUCACUUAUGGUUAUUGUUCUUUGUCUGCAUUCUAAUUUUUAAGUUUAAUUUUUAGUUAUCUUUAUAUUGGCAUUUCGGAUUAAAUGCAUCUUCAAUUAUUUUUGUAUGAUUUUUUUCCAUUGCUUACUUACUCUGUUUUCUAUUAAAAUUAAAACUUAUUACUUCUUUCAUGGUGGAUUUCAAGCUUUUGUGCUAAAGAAAUGACCUUUACAACUACAACAUCAGCUGUUUUCUAAAUACUUUUUGUUCUCGUUGUUUUUUUAAAAAAAUAUAAUACUAUUUAGGCAUGUAUUGUGCUCCGCUAGAUUUUAUUUAUGUGUUGUCUCAUAAAAGUCUUUCAUUUCACAGUAAAAUGUAUAGUGCAACUUAAAGAGAAAACCACUAUUUCGUUAUGUGUUCUUUUUCAUUAUAUUUUUCUCAAUUUUAUUCUAGUUGUUUUGUUUAACCUAUAUAUGCUUAUGUUGUUUUUAUGUUUUUCUUUUUUUUGUCAUAAGAUUUUGUAUUUAUGAACCUCUUAUUCAGAUUGUGUAACAUUUGAAUCUGGUUUGUUGCACACACUAACAUUGGCAGCUAAAACAAAGUUUUAUUGUUAGUUUAUAUUUACGAAUGUAUGUGUUCUUCUAUUUAUUUAUGUCCUUUCUUAUUUGACCUAUGUCUUUGACUAAUUGAUCAACACACCAAAUCUUCGCAACUACAAAAAUCUUUUAGUAUGCAAGAAUACAAUGUUGUUCCUUCUUCUUCACAAGUUUUAACAAAUUUGGUUUGCUUAUUUUGUUUUUAUGUAUUUUUGCUUUUUUUUUUAUAUGAUUAUGUAAUUAUGAACCUCUUAUGUUGUUGGAUGUCCAGAUUGUGUAACAUUUUAAUCUAAUUUGUUGCACACAAUUAGAUUGGCAGCUAAAGCAAAAUUUUAAUGUUAGUUUAUAUUUACGGAUUUCUGUGUUAUUCUAUUUAUUUAUGUCCUGUUUAUUUAACCUCUGGCUUUGAAGGAUUCAUCAACACACCAAAUAUUGGCAACUCCGUCAAGGAGAUACAUCCUAGAUUUUUUUUUUCUUCUUGUUUUCCAUGCUUGUAAUGCCCAACAUGAGUAUCUAAUUCUACCCUUUGAGAUUUGAGAUUUUCUCUUUAGUUGUUCCUCUACUCUAACACAAAGUUGAACUAAAUCAUUUAAAUCAUUAUAAGGAAAAAGUUCAACUUUAUCCUUAAUUUCAUAAUUAAGACCACUUUGGAAUCGAGCCCUAAUCCGUGCCCUUAACAUAAAUAACUCAAUUAUCUGCUUCUAUUGUUCUACAAUCAUGUUUAUAUGCGUUAACUUAUUGAGUUGUUUCAUCAACUCUCUAUCAUAUUAGGAAGGCUCAUACCUCUUCCUAAGAGCUGAUCUAAACUCAUUCCAAUACCUUAUUUAGGGAAAAUUAUGCAACCUAAGAUCUUUUGUAUAGGUGGUCCACCAAGUCAUGGUUGAAUCUUGAAAACUAAGGGUAGCUAAGGUAUCCCUCCUCUCAUGAUUUAUUUGGUGAGCCGAAAAAAAUUUCAACCUUCAUCUCCAAGGUUACGUAAUCUUCUAUAUUUGAUGAAAAAUGAAAAUAAGGAAGGUCAAUCUUAGGCUCUUUAGGCACAUGAUGGGCUCGAUGUCUAUGUUGUCUAGCAUUUUAUUGGUAGUAGUAUGUAUUGUGAUACCUACUAUAAUCAUAUUGGCUUUGGUAAGGGAUUGUAUGAUGAUUGCUUAUAUGUUUGUGAGAUCCCUCUCUUAGGAAAUCACAAAUUUAGAAAUUAUUUCUUUCAAUUCUGAAAAAUUCAUUUGCUUGUUUUGUUACUCUUUCAUAGACAUUAAAAGAAUCUUGAGUGUUUUGAUUACCAUGAACACUAGAUUGAUGUGAAGGAUCACCCAUUGUUGAAUUAAAAUAGAAAAAGUUUUCACAAAAAUUUACAAUUCAAUUGAGUGAUCAAAAUAUUUUUUGAAAAUAUUUUUUUAAUUUUUGGUGAAGUAAAUAGAUCAAGUAUGAGAGUUCUCCAAGUUCACUCCCACGAAAAGUGAGGUGAGUCACAAUGGACUACUUACAUACCAAGAGCUUAUCCCAAAUAAUUCUCAACAUAAGUUCCCUCAAAAUAAUUUUAGAAAUGAGAGUGGGUGUUUGAAUGUCGAAAUGAAACUAAAGAUCAAAGGAAGAUCUACUAAUAAGCAAAAAAAGAUAAAAAUCCUAUGUAUCACAGAUACUUAAAAGCAAGAAAAUAAAGGAAGGAAAUAAAGGAAGGAAAUAAAAGCAUGAAAUUAAAGCAAGAAAUUAAUGCUAGUGAAAAGUAAAUUAGCCGCAUCCUAAAGUUCAAGUGCAAUUGACACUAAGACUCCAGCAGCACACUUACACCACUAAUGCACAUGUAAUCUAAGAAUUUGAAGUAAAAUAAGUACAAAAGAAGAUGGACAACAAUAUAGAUAAAUAGUUAAGUGAAUCUCAAGAGAACAUUACAAAGAACUUACUUGAAAUGGACUUUAUUAAAAAUUUUAAUUUCAAGAAAUAUACUAAGUUAUGUUGGAGAUCCCACAUCGACUAGAGAUAAGGACAUUUCAUAAUAUAUAAAUGGGUGCAGACCUCAAUCUUAUGAGCCGGUUUUAUGGGGUUGAGUUAGCCUUAAAGUCCACUUCGCAAUAAGUUACUUUUAUACAUAUAGCUUAAUGAACAUAUCAAGGCAUAAGUAAGUAUAUUUGAUUAUUGUUAUAUAACAAAUUCAUUUGUAAUUCACAUUCCUAAAAGUAUUUACAAAAGAUUCGAAGUAAAGCAUGUCCUUAUCUCAAGAUGCACUACUUGUAAACAAAUAACCCAUCAUAUUCUACAUAUUCCUUUGACAAACUUGAUUACCCGAACUAGAAGUUGCUCAGUUGGAGAUCUCACAUCGACUAGGGAUUAGAGCCUUUUAUUGUAUAUAAAUGGAUGCAAACCUCAACCCUGUGAGCCGGUUUUAUGGGGUUGAGUUAGGCUUAAAGUCACAUCUCUAUCUUAGUGGAAAGUAUUGAAUAGAGUAUAAAUCAUAUACAUCUGUGUUAAAAUGAGUAUACAUCUAUAUUAAAAUGAGUGAUGUCAUUCAUACAUCUAAAGAAAUCAAUGUACAUUCUCAUUUCAUAAUAAAAAGAUAUGAAUGACAAUUACAACACAAAGACCCUACCUACCACGAGUUGGUCAUACUCUAAUCUACGCCCAUAAACUAUUUCCCGUGAGUUCUAGGCAUGGAGGCUUCUCAAUGUUUCAAGCUAUAAACAAAGACUGAGAAUUGUACACUCAAUCAUACAAUAAUAUAAAUAAAAACACAGGAAAAAUCAAUAUCCUCGCAUACAAUAACAUAAUCAAGAGGACAAAUUAUAAUAUACAUCAAAAAAUUAAUUUGGUGAAUUUAAAGACUCAACCAUACAUUCAAUCAAAUCAAAAUGUAUUUCACAAGUAUUAUUAUAGGAUAUGACAACCCAAACUAACAUCGUUUUCCUCCCUCAUCCAACGUCUACUUUCAUGACUUACUACUUAAAAGUACACCUUCAUUGAGAUUAUUUAAAAAAAAAACUUAAAUUGUUAUAUGAAGGUGCAUGGGGAAAAUAGAGAGUGGAGGAGAAUUUGCCAAACUAAUGCCCUUUUCUCUUUCCUUUUUUGUACGUAUGCAACACUUUAUAUUCUAAUUUUCAUGCACAUUUCAAUUCUUCACAAAUGACCUACAAACAAAUAGUGGUCCAUAUGCAUAAAACAAAAUGUAACUAGGGUUUCCAUUCGCAUGUAAACACCCCACGUUUUUCUUACUGUACCCAUAUAAAUUAUCCUUAUUAAUUUAUAAUAUUAUUAAUAAAUUGAAUUUUGAAAAAAUGAUUUUUCUCAUGAUUUAAAACUAAUUUGUUUAACAAUUUGAUACAUACAUUAUAUUAUAGUUAAUGAAAAUAAUAAUUAAUAACUAAAAUCUUAAUAACUAAUUAGAUACAAUUUAAAAAUUAUUUUAUAAUUUUUAUUAAUAAUAAAAACUAUUUAAAUACUAAUACUCAUUCAAUUAUAUCAAUUUCCUUCCAAAUCCUCCUCAUACAUAUAGUAAAGAAAUUGUUUUUCGUUUUCCAUGUUCUUUACACGUUUUCUAUUAAUUUCUUUGUGGACAAUAAGUUUAAGCAUUCCAUCUUCAUUUUGAAAAAAGAAACAAACAGGUGAGAGCUACUCAUACGCAAGUUCCUUUUUCAUACUAUUAGAGAAGUGUAGAUUAUGUCAUAGAAGAGCGUCUAAAGGUAACAGAGAUACAAAAAUGUGAAGACAACACAGAAACAUGACAGAAAUAGAGAUCCACCCAUGAACUAAAAUUAGGUAGAAAAUGUUUUACAAAGAUGUCUCUCGUCACUUGUUUUAGAACAAUGCAAACAUAACAACAACCACACCAACAAAUAUAACAGAUUAACAACAACAGGAAUUUGCACCAAACAUAUGUGCCAUAAGGACUCAUAUUGCAGCAGCAAUUAUGGAAGGAAUCCUUUUUUCUUCAAAUCCUCUACAGAAUCCUUAAUAAUCUCCUCAAUUGGAGUGAUUUGCAAACCCAAAUCCAUAAGUUUCUUUGAUCCAUCCUUCACUCUCAAUAAUCCUGGUUGGGUAUCUCGUUGCAUCCUUUCAAGCAAAAUCACAAAAUACAUCAUUCGCAACUAAGUUAUGCAUUAACAAUAGAUGUAUGAAGUGUGUGGGUAACUUACUUAGGCACAUUGUACUCUGGAUAAAGUUCACCAACUUUGGCCGCAAAAUCACCAAAGUGAGAGAUAGAUUCAACACACACAUGCCUACCAACUGCAGAUUUGUUCUCAUACACCAAAAUAUGUGCCAAUGUUACAUCCUUCAAGUGGACCGAUCCCAUAUAAAUGUCCUCGUAUGUUUCAUCAGAACCUGCGACGCGACAUACAAAUUUGUCUCAAAUUAUCAGUAAUUCCCCUAAAAAAAUCAUAACUUGGGGAGUUUGAUAUUAGUAUUCGAGUCAACAAUUAUACUGUGCAAAAUCUAAUGAAAAGAGUAUAGCACAAUCAAACAAGUCUAAUACUUUUCACGAAGGCAUCAAGUUCUAAAUAUCCUACACAGCUACACCAUCAACUACACUGUCGCAGGUCUUAGAAAACAUAUAAAAUAAUAAUAAAAUAAAAAUAUGAAUAAUAAAUUAAUAACAUAAUAAUAAUUAAAUAAUUAAAAUAAUAAUAAAUAAUAAACAAUAAUAAUGUUGGAGAUCUCACAUCGACUAAAGAUUAGAGUCUUUCAUUGUAUAUAAGUGGGUGCAAACCUUAAAUUUAUGAACUUGUGAGUCAUUUCAUUGUAUAUAAAUAAAUGAAAACCGAUUUUAUGGAGUUGACUUAGACUUAAAGUUUAUUUUGUAAUAAAUAAUAAAAAUAACUGAUAGUAAAAAUAUUAAAAUUAAAAUUAUAAACUAAUUAUAAUAUUAUAUUUUUUAUUUAAUUAAAUUAGUUUAUAAUAAUAUAAAUUAAUUAAUUAUUAUAUAUAUUAUUUUUAAAUUUUUUAAAAUUUAUUAUAUUUAUCAAAUUAGUAAUAAACUUAAUUCAAAAAACUUCAUUUUACUCAACUCCUCAAAUUCCCAGUAUCAAAUUUACUCUCCAUUUGAAAAAAACCCAACUUGAUACAAUGAGUUUAAAAAUAACUAUCUAAAAUAAAGAAUAAAUUUAUACUUAUAUAAUAUAAAAAAUAUAUAUUAAAAUAAUAAUAUUGAAAAUUGUAUAAAAAUACUGCAUUGUAUGAUUAUAUGAUUAACCCAAAAGAUAAAGCAUUCUCAAGCUUUUUGGGUAGUAGAAGAUUUCUUGAUACCAUAUUAUAAUAAUAUAAUAAUAUUUUAAAUUAAAAAUAAAUUAAAUAUAAUUAAAAUAUUAUUUUAAGGAUUUGUCAAGUGGAUUUUUUUAUUAUUGUAUGACCACCCAUUUUAGAACUUUUCCAGUUCACAUUUCCAAUAUUGAAGGAAACUCCUGCUGCAAAAAUAGAAAGAAAUAUUUGGAAAAUCCAACUGAUUAAGCAUUAGUGUCUCUACCUUGAAGAAGGCGCAAGAGCAUGAGCAUGCUUGCAUUAAGCCUGGGUGAAAUAAUCGGACCCAUCACAGUGCCAGGAUUCACUACAACAACAUCCAACCCACUCUCCUUUGCAAAUUCCCAAGCUGCUUUCUCCGCCAAAGUCUUCGACAAUGGAUACCACAACUGUUGCACACACAAACACUUCACACACCAACACAUAUAAGAAAAAGAAACAGAAAAUGAAAAAAAUGAAACCCUUUCUAACCCCUUUUUGCUUGCAAAAUUCAACGUCAGCCCAGCAGUCCUCCCUCUUUGGAACAUCACCGGGCCAACUGGGGCUCGGAAUAAUCGCCGAGACGGAGGACGUGACCACCACGCGACGCACUCCUGCUUCUUUCGCUGCCGUUAAUACGUUCACGGUACCCUUUAUCGCCGGGUCCAGAAGAUCCUUCUGCAUGAAGACUCAAAUGGGAUGAUGAAAAAACCCAAAAGAUUGAAAAUUUGUGAAGAGAUCGAGGAAACAAGACCUGGGGAUCCGAGACUUGAUCAACAAUGCAGGGAGAGGCGAGGUGGAAAACGCCGGCGCAGCCGCGCAUGGCAGCGAGUACGGAGUCAUAGUGGAGGAGCUCCAUCUGAAAGAGGCGGAGGCGCUCCGACGCUCCAUCCAAGUCUUGUAGAUGCUUUGUCUCGGCCUCAUCGUCUGUUAGAAAAGUUGUGUUGUGCUGUGUAAGUAUAUAUUGGGAUGAAACGAAUGAAUAAUAAAAGUUUGGAAUGUGCUAACUGAGAUUUUGGACGGUGGCGUGAACGGUGUAGCCGCGGUCCAGAAGGAGGUGCACGAGCCAUGAACCGAUGCCGCCGCUGCCGCCGGUGACACACACCACCUUCUCCAUUUUGCAGCUGUAUUCUAAGAUGCACUACUUGAAGAACUCCACUGUACUAAGAUAAUGAUGACACGUGUAAGAGAGGAAGAAACAAAGAAAACGAAAGACAGCCACAGAAAGAACAGAGAAAAAAUGAAAACGACGUUCAGAUAAAAGGCAAAAAAUGACCGAAGCAAACAGUUCCAAACAGCAAAAUAUUAGGUUUUAUUUUUUAGUGACUAAAUUAAUAUUGAAUUAUAAAUUUUUAAAGAAUACUUGUAUAAUGUAAUUGUCAUAUUUCUCUAUUAUGUAGAAUUGUAGUGAAAUGGAGGUUAAAUAAUGGUGCCCAACUUGCUAGCUGAAGGUUUUAAAAGGCAAGGAAAAAAUGAUAGCAAAUUAACCGUCAUGUACAAAAAAAGUGGUGGUCCCACAAUCACAAAAAUAGCAUAUAAAUUAAAUAAAAGAACUGACACGUAGAGUUUAGUGUAAUUUGAUGAUUUAUUUAUAAAUUAUUAUUUAUGGUUAUUUUACUGAUUUUUGUAAUAAGUAUUUGAUAUAGUUUAGGAGAGGAUAUGGUAUGCUUUAAUAAGAGGAUUUGAGCACACUUAAGCUUAAAUGAGUGUAUAUAAGCAACAAAAGAAAGAAAAAUAAAUCUAUACAAUUGUUGGAUCAUUCCAAGACUCAAUCAUAGAGGAACACAAACUCAUAGUAGAUAAUUUUUUCUUUUCAUUAAUUUAAUUUCCAACUCAUUGAGAUAAUUAUAAAAGCGUUUCUAUCCAUAACAUUAUGACAAAAUGUAGAGUACACCUUAUUUUCUUAAUAUAUAUAAUUUGACUUUUAUUAACCAAGUGGGCUUCUUCAAUGCCUAAAUCAUUUUAAUAUUUGGCUCCAUUAUUGUGUACCUGUUUCUCAUUUUCUGGUUCUUAUCUCAGACCAACUAAAGCCCACCACGUAUCGUUUCCCAAUUUUUACUUUAUGCAUAUGGACCCGCUUUUUGUUUGUUGCUAUUUUACUUUAUUCCUUUUCAUUUUAUUUUUAAUUCAAAAUAUUAUUAUAUUAUUAUAAGUGUUUGUUAAGUGUAUCUUAUUUACUGUUUUUUAUUGUUUAUGGUUUUAAAGAAACUUUUCUCUUUUGUCAUACAUUCACAUGGGGAGUGCUCAUUUGUUUGCAUGAAAAUUGAAAUACUAAGAGUUGCAGAUGUACAAGAAAGAAAGAGUAGCUCUAAACAAAGAAUAACUUUAUUUUUUAAAAUAAUUUCAGUAACAUUCUUAUAACUUUCUUUUAUUUACAGUACUUUCAUUCUUAUGUCGUAAAAUUAGAAAAAGUAGUUUUUUAUCAAUCAAUAUCGAACGGGUGAGUCAUUUAGUUUCGGAAAUCGAUCAACUGCGUUAAAAUACAUUUAAUACACUCAAUAAAUGACUAUUGUUACAAUUAUGAAAACUUCCGACAAAUCAAAGUCAUAUUCCAUCGAAUUUGGGUGACACCCCCAAGAAAAUAGCUAAUAUUGAUUUAUUGAAGAUAUUCUCCAAAUAUACAUCUCUAUAAUUCAAGGAAUCCCCUAAAAAGCCACUUAACACUGAUAUUUGAUAAAUGCGGUUCAUCACACAAAAUGACUCAUGACUAAACAUUAUAAAUAAAUAUUUUACAAAAGAGGAAUGUAUGUUUUUUAUCAGUUUCACUAUACACUCUUAACACAAGGUACUCACUUGAUCGUCGAAAAAUCUUUUGCAAGUUAACUCCUAAUCGACUAUUGAGAAAUUGAGGAUAGGGAGUCUUGAAGUUUGAAGGAGUGAAGUACUAAGGAGCAAGGGAGGGACCGACAACCAAAACAAUUGUUACAGUCAAUCCCAUGUACUAUUUAUGCUCACUUUGUCAAUACAAGUACAAGUUCCAUCAUUUCAACGUGUGUAAGAGGCUUGACGAGAAGAUUUGUUGUAUUCGACAUUCCCCAAUGCGAAGAUAAUUUUUUUUUUUUAGUUUUAUACUUCAUUUUUGCACAUCAUUUUUUUAUGAAUUUUGUGGCUUCCAAAAAAAGAAAAAAAAUAAAUGAAUAAAAACACAGUCACCAUGAGCAAUCACCAUCACUUGAAAAUGAAGAAGACACAACACUCUCCAUCAAAUAUUGUUGGAAUUAAAAAAGAGUAUGGAAGUGGAGAAUGAAGGUACGGAGAUGCAAGGAGAAUUUGCCAUCAAUUUUGUGCAUAUGGGAUUACUUUUUGCAUCACAUUUUGGUAUCACCCUUCCUUCAUAGGUGUUUCUUUCUGCACCUCUACAUUUUUCUUCUUGCACCUCUACAUUUUUCUUCUUGCACCCCUACAUUCAUGUGUAAUUACAAAGUAUCUCUAAGACAUCUAAAAAAACCCAAAAGGAGCAUAUCUCACUCUUUCUUUCUUCCUUUUCUACAAUUGUUGUGCACCUUGUUCAAGGAGCGAACAAAGGACAAUAAGUGGUAAUGCAUUGGGAUGUUGUUGGUGGUUCAUUUUCUGAAAUCUUGAUGGUGGUUAGAUGAUUUCUAAGAUGACUCUGUAUUAAGAAAAGAAGAUAAGUAAUAUUAUUUUUUGUUUACACUGUAUUGAGAAAAGAAGAUAAGUAAUAUUAUUUUUUGGUUACAUAUUGGAUGUUUAAUUUUUUAACUAAUUUUGAAUUCCGUAAUGCAACUUUUAGGAUUUCAGAGACAAGUGAGUCCGUAAUAGAGCACAUUGAUCCAAGAAUUAACUAGAUUGGUGUAUUUGUGUGGUUAUUUACACUUUAUAAACAUGGUUGUAAUUCCUAGCUGUAAUGGCAAAUAGAAAACUCUUGUAGCAGCCAAAUGGAUCCAGACUUUUUUUGUAAAAAACGUGGUGCCCCACUUGCAGCAAACAGAAAAUAACGAGUAAAUAAAAAAAUAGGGUUUGCAGGAAAUAUAGAAAACAAUGAGGAAAGAAAAGAAUGGCAUGUGAAGGCACUGUAAGGAAGGGUGAUGCCACAUCGUGAUCAGAAUGAGUGGUUGUGAUGGAUGAAUGAAUAAUUAAGAUUCCUUCACAUUCUAAACAGUAUCUCACUUUCAUUCUCUAACCAUUUAUAGUAAUAUCCCCACGUAUUCUUUCUUCUUUUAUAACAAAAACAAAAACAACCACCCCUUUUCUCUUUUCUUUUUUAAUUUACUACUUUUAAUAUUAUUAUUUUAAUAUUUUUUUAUAUCAUUUAAUUAUAAAUCAUUCUUUUAUUCUGCUCUCCAUGUGAAUGUUUGAAGAGUAAAUCAUCUAGGUGUCAAAAAGAACAUUGACAUAUUGGUUUAUAAUUAAAAAUUCUUGAUUCUACAUAUUUUUAACUUUGAGUAGGAAGUUGAUGUUAUAUUAUUAUGUUUAUAUUUAUUAGUUCAAAUUUAAUUGAAUUGAAUAACUGAUUUUUUUCUUUAAUUUAUAAUAGAAUUAAACAAUUAUUAAAAUAAUUCAUAUUUAUUAAAACUAACCACACCAACAAAAGUUUAACGAUACAUAUGAUAGUGCCUCAUUUUAGAACUAAGAGGAAUUUGCAGCAAACAUGUGGCUUUUAGGACUCGUAUUGCAGCAGCAAUUAUGCAAGGAAUCCUUUUUUCUUCAAAUCUUCUACAGCAUCCUUAAUAAUCUCUUCAAUUGGAGUGAAUUGCAAACCCAAAUCCAUAAGUUUCGUUGAUGCAUCCUUCACUCUCAGUAAUCCUGGUUGGGUAUCUCGUUGCAUCCUUUCAAGCAAAAUCACAAACUACAUCAUUUACAAGUACGUUAUGCAUUAACAAUACAUGUAUGAAGUGUGUGGGUAACUUACUUAGGCACAUUGUACUCUGGAUAAAGUUCACCAACUUGGGCUGCAAAAUCACCAAAGUGAGAGAUAGCUUCAGCACACAGAUGCCUACCAACUGCAGAUUUGUUCUCAUACACCAAGAUAUGUGCCAAUGCUACAUCCUUAAAGUGGACCGAUCCCAUAAAAAUGUUCUCAUAUGUUUCAUCAGAACCUGCCACGCCACAUACAAAAGGUCACAAAUUCUCAGUAAUUCCCCUAAAACAUCAUAAAUUGGGUAGUUUCAUGUUAAUAUUCCGGUCAACGAUUAUAGAUUAUAUGGUAAAAAAUUUAAUAAAAAAAAAGUGUAGUGAUUUUCACGAAUUAUAAAUGUCCUACGCAUCUAUACCAUCGACCAAGUUGUAGCAGGUCUUGUGAAAUUAGUCUAAUAGUUAGGUAACAACAACAGUAGCCCUAUUCACAUUAUACCAUUUUAAUCAGUUAAAAAUGUAUGCAUCAUUCAUCACAAGAUCCCUAACAUGGUGUUAAAUAGUGGUAUGCGACUAUGACUUUAGUGGUUCCGUCCACAGAUUUGGACGGAUGAAUACAAACAGAAAGCAUGAAAAUCAAAAGUAAAAAAUUGUUAGAUUCUUUCCUCGCAUAGCUGUGAGGAGUAGCAAAGAAAGUUGAAUAAACAUUAUAAUCAUAUAUUUACAAUAAAAUAUAUAUUCUAUAACGGAUCAUUACAUAGUCUGAUGACAUAUAUUUAUCAAAUAAUCCAUUUUUUUAAUAAUAUAAUUGAUUAUGGAAUAUACAUGUUAUUAUAUUUUUAUAUAAUUAUUAUAUUAUAUAUAUACACUAAAAAAAAUAUAAAUAUAGUAAAAAAAAUAAUUAGUUGUUAUAAUAACUAAAUUAGAAAUUAUUUUAAAAACUAAAAAAAAUAAUUUUUAAAUUAGUUUAUAUUAUUAUUAAAUAGUUUUGUAAUUUGUAUUUAAUUAGCUACCAAGGUUUUAACUCCCAAUUAUUUAAUUUCUAAAUUUGGUCGUAAAAAUUUUGGUUGCUAAUUAAAUACUAAUUUAAAAAUUAUUUAAUGAUAAUACAAACUAAUUUAGAAACUAAAGUUUUUUUUUCUCUAAAAUGAUUUAUAAUUUAGUUACUAUAUCAACUAAAUAUUUUUUAUUCUCUAAACAUAGUUUUCUAUUUGAUGUUUUUUUUUAGUGAUAUUAUUAAUUGAUUAAUAUUUGUAUUUUUAUUCUAAACAUAAUUAAUUAUACAAUAUAAUACAAUGUAAUAAUAAUAAGUAGUCAAACAAUAAAGAAAUAUAAAAUAAUAAUAAUAAAAUAGUCUCUACCUUGAAGAAGGUGCAAAAGCAUGAGCAUGCUUGCAUUAAGCCUCGGUGCAAUAACCGGACCCAACACCAUCCCAGGAUUCACUACAACAACAUCCCACUCACUCUCCUUUGCCAAAUCCCACGCUGCUUUCUCGGCCAAUGUCUUCGACAAUGGAUACCACAACUGUUGCACACACAAACACUUCACACCCCAACACAUAACAAAAACAAACACAAAAUUCAAAAAAUGAAAACCCUUUCUAACCGCUUUUUCCUUGCAAAAUUCAACGUCAGUCCAGCACUCCUCCUUCUUUGGAACAUCACCGGGCCAAUUGGGGCUCGGAACAAUCGCGGUGAUGGAGGACGUCACCACCACGCGACGCACUCCAGCUUCUUUCGCUGCCGUUAGCACGUUCACGGUGCCCUUUACCGCCGGGUCCAGAAGAUCCUUCUGCAUGAAGACCCAAAUGGGAUGAUGCAAAAACCCUAAAGAUUGAAAAUUUGCAAGAAGAUCGAGAGAACAAAACCUGGGGGUCCUGGACUUCAUCAACAAUGCAGGGAGAGGCGAUGUGGAAUACGCCGGCGCAGCCGCGCAUGGCUUCGAGUACGGAGUCGUAGUGGAGGAGCUCCAUCUGGAAGAGGCGGAGGCGCUCCGACGCUCCAUCCAAGGCUUUUAGAUGCUUUGUCUCGGCCUCAUCGUCUGUUAGAAAAGUUGUGUUGUGCUGUGUAAGUAUAUAUUGGGAUGAAACGAAUGAAUAAUGAGAGUGUGGAAUGUACUAACUGAGAUUUCGGACGGUGGCGUGAACGGUGUAGCCGCGGUCCAGAAGGAGGUGGACGAGCCAGGAAGCGAUGGCGCCGCUGCCGCCGGUGACACACACCACCUUCUCCAUUUUGCAACUUAAUUCUAACACGAAAACGAUCACUAGAGACUUGAGAAGUCCACUUUGAAAUCAAGAGAAGAAGAAAGAAACAAGUGU
This 14407-nucleotide long non-coding RNA is filed under the name Phaseolus vulgaris (common bean). Its description in RNAcentral is "long non-coding RNA (PVUL_LNC001905)". The record is from RNAcentral. Lineage: Eukaryota; Viridiplantae; Streptophyta; Magnoliopsida; Fabales; Fabaceae.